UCUACUCAUUGCACUUAUAGCAUAAUAAAAGCUCUGCCCAUUCUAGUUAAUACACGGUCAGGGCUCUGCCUACGCUACUUAUUGCACAGUAUAUAGCUUUGCUUACGCUACUCAUAGCACGGUUAAUAGCUCUGCUUACGCUAUCCGUUGAACGGUAAAUACAUAUUCUUACGCUACUUAUUGCUCAGUAAAUAGCUCUGUUUGCGCAACUUAUUUCACGGAAAAUAUCUCUCUGCUUAUUUUACUUAGUGCACGGUAAAUAGCUCUGCUGUUACUAAUUGCACAGCAAAUAGCUUUGUUUACGCUACUUAUUGCACAGUAAAUAGCUCUGCUUACGCUACUUAUUGCAUAGUUAAUAGCUCUGCCUACGCUACUUAUAACAUGGUAAAUAGCUCUGCUUUCGCUACUCAUUGUACGGUAAGAGUUCUGACUUCGAUACGUAUUACACGGUAAAGAGCCAUGUCUUCAAAAAUAUAAACUUCCUUGUGGGACACGUAUCGUAAAUACAGCAAUAGUAUUGAUAAACUUAUUUGACAAUAUACAAUUAAAGAUCAUAUUCAUUUAUAAUGAUACAAAAAUUCACUUACUGCUUAAUUUAAUUUGUGGUUCAUUCUGUACCAAUGAAGGUCCAAACACUGGGUGUCGCAGUAAUUGAACACCUGCGGUUGGAGGUAGUUUGGCCUUUACCAAUGAAGGCCAAGAAAAAAGGUUGAACGUGUAUACACGAUGGGGGGUUUUCGUUGACGAUAUGUUUAAAAUGCAAUCAUCUUUCCCCGCUUGGCUGAAAAUACCACUUGGCAGGAAGUUAACAUCCAUGUUGUAUGCUGUCGGAAAUAGUCGCCAUUCCAACGAAGAAGUGCACGCGAUGAUGGUCAACGAUUUAAAGCAGUUUUCGGCAAUUCUAGAGUGUAUUAUGCUUCUAAGGCGACCAAAAAAUACGUUAUGGGAGACCGGAUAGGUGAUGUUGACUGCGCGGCGUUCGGUAUCUUGUCCCAGGUCCGCUGGUGCACGCCGUCAGCCGUUUCGGGAGCUGCUAUGUUACAAGGUGCUGAAUUAAAGAAUAUCACAGACUACAUGGACAGAAUAAAGAACGACUUUUGGCCAGACUGGGAAGAAAUAACAAGUCAGGCGGCACAGAAAGCUUUAUGAUGAUGGAAUUAUACAAAUUAUUCAAAAGUUUGAGGACAAGCAACGGAAAAAAAUACCAUCGAUGUCGUUGAUUUGCAGAAAUUCAAUAGGGCACCUUAUUGAGUCGAAUUCGUAAAGCAUCUUGGGGAACAUUACUUUGCAAACUUUGCAAAAGCAAAACAAAGAUGUCUAAAUCAUAAAUGAAUAUGUGACUGAACAAAUUAUACAUUUCUCCAUAAUGUUAAAACUCGGCACCAUUGCGACUUCUGUCUGUGCUAAAAAACGGCGCGAGUUUGCCCACUGUCCAUAAUGGCAACGCACGGGUCCAGUGUGCCCUCUGUGCAUUAUGCUUAAACACGGCGCGAGUUUGCCCACUGUCCAUAAUGACAACACACGGGUCCUAUAUUCCCCCUGUCCAUAAUGGCAACACACAGCACUGCUGUUUUCUCUGUCCGUAAUGGCAACUCAUGGGUCCAAUGUGCCAUCUGUCACAAAUGGCAACACACGGCGCAAGUGUUUCCUCUGUCCAUAUUGUUCAAUUGCUCAACAAUAUUAUGGGUUUGAUGGACUGGUCUGACCCUCAGUGGCGAAAACUCUCAGCUCCCUUUUACAUAUCCCUUCCCUUGCCCACAACGGCUGAAUGGUCAUAAAACUAGCUGAACUAUACAAACAACUGUUUAAAAGUAGUAGAAUACAAGGGACGAUACCAUUUCAAUAAACACGAUAACUAAACCCUGAUGCAUAUUGCAGACACGACAUACUGGAUAUACUGUGAUAAUUACUGUGUGUUUAUUGUUAUUAAUGGUUAUCAUUCGAAUCCCCCUUAUGUACGCGUCAUUUGUAAUUGGAAAUACAUAUUUGGACAUGAAUAAGUCUGAAUACUUGAAGACUAGUUUACCCCCUCAUUUAUUAUUUUCGCUAACCGUUCCAAGUCGGUAACCCCAACUCUUAUUAAU
Long non-coding RNA from Mya arenaria, 2084 nucleotides. RefSeq lists it as uncharacterized. NCBI's taxonomy places the organism in Eukaryota, Metazoa, Mollusca, Bivalvia, Myida, Myidae. The record is from RefSeq and is a predicted model, not a curated record. The transcript is spliced from 4 exons.